RNAcentral lists this ribosomal RNA (256 nucleotides) under uncultured Gardnerella sp. RNAcentral's name for it is "partial 16S ribosomal RNA". It matches the Rfam family "Bacterial small subunit ribosomal RNA", at positions 99 to 356 of the family's 1533-position model. Lineage: Bacteria; Bacillati; Actinomycetota; Actinomycetes; Bifidobacteriales; Bifidobacteriaceae. The record is from RNAcentral.
CGAACGGGUGAGUAAUGCGUGACCAACCUGCCCCAUGCUCCAGAAUAGCUCUUGGAAACGGGUGGUAAUGCUGGAUGCUCCAACUUGACGCAUGUCUUGUUGGGAAAGUGUUUAGUGGCAUGGGAUGGGGUCGCGUCCUAUCAGCUUGUAGGCGGGGUAAUGGCCCACCUAGGCUUCGACGGGUAGCCGGCCUGAGGGGGCGGACGGCCACAUUGGGACUGAGAUACGGCCCAGACUCCUACGGGAGGCAGCAGCG